UGAAAAAGUCUUAUAUCGCCCAGCACUAGUUGGUAAUUACAUUAAAUUAAUUUUAUAUGUAAUUUGAAAUUAAAUCCCAAUGUUAGUGGGUUCAAAAUAAAAUUCAAGUUGUAAUUACUUAAAGAAAUUGAAUAUGUAACUUAUUUUUUCUCCACUGUAACUUUUGAUUUCAAGUUCCCUCCCCUACCCACUUAACUAGCCCGGGAAAAUUCAUAUAUGGUGCAUUGCUUGGUGGACUUGCAAGCUUAUGUAAAAGACAUUUCAAGAUAAAGGAGGAAUUCAAGAGUUCAACCACUGUAAGCCUUGAAUGGCUACACUUGACCCCAAAACUGAUGGACGUCAUUUUUUCAAGGGGAGGAGCUAAAGGAGUGAGAAUCAGGCAGAUCAAGUACAUGCUUCUUGAGCACAAUUCAACUGAAAUACACAGAGAAGUAGCCAUCUGCUGCCUUAUCACAUACCUUGGAGAGAAGGAAGAGGACCUUUUCAUGGAGUUUGGUGACAAUUUAAGGCCAACCUUGAAAGGCAGGUGAUGAAAACUGCCAUCAUCGGUGACCGGUACACCCCUGGAUCUGACCAUAAGACUGCAACCAUUGUGGUGCGGGAACAAAAAUCCUGGAGGGCCAGAAUUUCCCAAGGUGCUGUGUGUUACUCAUGGGCAUAAUAUAUGCUCUCAAUCUGAGCUAAUGCAAGGAUCUGAAAUAUACUUUUGAAGUUUUUCAGAAGCUGUUCCUUGACCUUGAUGGAACCAGCAUUAUGUUAAAGAUGCUGACUCUGUUUCAAAAAUUGUUAACUGUUUUGAAUCCUGUAUGUGUAACAUUGAUCUUAAAGGUGUUUGCUGCAUUGUGUAAAAGAAAGAUGCAAGAUCUUGUAAAGUUUGGUAGGCACUGAAAGUUGACAUUUAUUGAACACUU
Molecule: long non-coding RNA, 911 nt
Organism: Oreochromis niloticus (Nile tilapia)
Lineage: Eukaryota; Metazoa; Chordata; Actinopteri; Cichliformes; Cichlidae
Exons: 4
Source: RefSeq, a predicted model, not a curated record